This 876-nucleotide ribosomal RNA is filed under the name uncultured Planctomycetota bacterium. RNAcentral describes it as "bacterial SSU rRNA". It matches the Rfam family "Bacterial small subunit ribosomal RNA", at positions 62 to 917 of the family's 1533-position model. The record is from RNAcentral. Lineage: Bacteria; Pseudomonadati; Planctomycetota.
UCGAACGCGAAAGCCGCAAGGUGAGUAGCGUGGCGGACGGGCGAGUAACGCGUAAUCAAGCUGCCUGCGAGACGGGGAUAACCUCGGGAAACCGAGGCUAAGACCCGAUGGUCUGGACUGGCUGCAUGGCUGGUCCAGUAAAUGGGCGGGAUCCUUUGGGAUCGCCUGCUCGCAGAGGUGAUUGCGUCCCAUCAGCUAGUUGGUAGGGUAAUGGCCUACCAAGGCGACGACGGGUAGCCGGCCUUAGAGGGUGGUCGGCCGCACUGGGACUGAGACACUGCCCAGACUCCUACGGGAGGCUGCAGUCGAGAAUCUUCCGCAAUGGGCGAAAGCCUGACGGAGCGACGCCGCGUGGAGGACGAAGGCCUUCGGGUUGUAAACUCCUGUCACGAGUUAAGAAGGGUCUGCGGCGAACAGCCGUAGACUUUGACGUAAGCUCGAGAGGAAGCACUGGCUAACUCUGUGCCAGCAGCCGCGGUAAUACAGAGAGUGCGAACGUUGUUCGGAAUUACUGGGCUUAAAGCGCACGUAGGCGGUGCUGUAAGUGUCAGGUGAAAUCCCACGGCUCACCCGUGGAACUGCCUGGCAGACUGCGGUACUAGAGUGUGGUAGGGGAGAGCGGAACUCCUGGUGGAGCGGUGAAAUGCGUAGAUAUCAGGAGGAACACCGGUGGCGAAGGCGGCUCUCUGGUCCACAACUGACGCUGAGGUGCGAAAGCUAGGGGAGCAAACGGGAUUAGAUACCCCGGUAGUCCUAGCUGUAAACGAUGGGCACUAGCUUGGGGUCUCCCUGUGUGAUCCCAGGUGUAGUAAAAAUGAUAAGUGCCCCGCCUGGGGGAGUAUGGUCGCAAGGCUGAAACUCAAAGGAAUUGACGGG